AAUUGAUCGGAGUAUAUAUAUAUUCUCUUACUAAAAUCCCUAGCCCUCUCAUUAGGGCCAAGUGAUACAAAUUGUAGGAGCCACUCCCAUCAACUUUCCACAACAUAGAACACACAUUCCACUUGUAACAAGUGUUUUGCUUUGAUAGCAUUCACACAAGCCAUGCUUGUAUGAACUACUAACCUAACAAUUGUGACAAGGCGAAACCUUUCCUCUCAAUCCAGUGCCUUGCUUAUUGCCCUCCCUUCCAAUCCA
Molecule: unclassified non-coding RNA, 255 nt
Filed under: Hevea brasiliensis (rubber tree)
Lineage: Eukaryota; Viridiplantae; Streptophyta; Magnoliopsida; Malpighiales; Euphorbiaceae
Source: RNAcentral